This 169-nucleotide ribosomal RNA is filed under the name Rachycentron canadum (cobia). RNAcentral's name for it is "partial 12S rRNA". Lineage: Eukaryota; Metazoa; Chordata; Actinopteri; Carangiformes; Rachycentridae. The record is from RNAcentral.
CACCGCGGUUAGACGAAUGGCUCAAGUUGACAAAAUACGGCGUAAAGAGUGGUUAGGGAAUACUAAAACUAAAGCUGAAUACCUUCCAAGCUGUUAUACGCUUAUGAAGCGAAUGAAGCCCAACUACGAAAGUGGCUUUAUUACACCUGAACCCACGAAAGCUAAGAAA